This 73-nucleotide transfer RNA is filed under the name Candidatus Woesearchaeota archaeon. RNAcentral describes it as "tRNA-Gln". It matches the Rfam family "tRNA". From Rfam's summary of the family: Transfer RNA (tRNA) molecules are approximately 80 nucleotides in length. Their secondary structure includes four short double-helical elements and three loops (D, anti-codon, and T loops). Further hydrogen bonds mediate the characteristic L-shaped molecular structure. tRNAs have two regions of fundamental functional importance: the anti-codon, which is responsible for specific mRNA codon recognition, and the 3' end, to which the tRNAs corresponding amino acid is attached (by aminoacyl-tRNA synthetases). tRNAs cope with the degeneracy of the genetic code in two manners: having more than one tRNA (with a specific anti-codon) for a particular amino acid; and 'wobble' base-pairing, i.e. permitting non-standard base-pairing at the 3rd anti-codon position. Lineage: Archaea; Nanobdellati; Candidatus Woesearchaeota. The record is from RNAcentral.
AGCCCCGUAGUGUAGUGGCCAAUCAUCUCAGGUUCUGGACCUGAGGACCGCGGUUCGAAUCCGCGCGGGGCUA